RNAcentral lists this long non-coding RNA (740 nucleotides) under Rattus norvegicus (Norway rat). Its description in RNAcentral is "long non-coding RNA NONRATT018469". The record is from RNAcentral. Lineage: Eukaryota; Metazoa; Chordata; Mammalia; Rodentia; Muridae.
AAUAACUUAUCCAUACAGUUUGGUCAUAGAUUAAAAAUAAUCUGCAUUAAGAUUGGAAUUGGAAGCAGAAGGGUCCUCAGUUCAGGGCCAGUCAGUGGUACAGACUAAGACCCUGUUCUCCUCAUUACCUGUUGAUCAGACAGAUAAGCAUACAGCACUCUCUGGCAGUUUGCUGACUUUUGAUCCAGUCCAGUGAGCAGACAUGAAAGGCAACAAUGUCCACCGCACACAGGAAAUGUCCAAGGAAAGCAAUCUAAAGUCACAUUUGCACAGCUGGGCUGUGGCAAGGCCAAGCAGGCUCUAACUAGAUACCGAUAGUCUUACAGGGCUAGGCUGUAACCCUGCUGCUCUGCUCUGUCACAUCUGGUCUGAUCUUUCCUAGUGGGACGCUGAUGAACAGGCAUUUAACACAACCGUGAAACAGCUGCUGUCACGCCUGCCAAAGCAAAGAUACCUCAAACUCGUCUGCGACGAAAUCUAUAACAUCAAAGUUGAGAAGAAGGUGUCGGUGUUGUUCCUGUACAGCUACAGAGAUGACUACUACAGAAUCCUAUUCUGACCCUAAAGAACUGCUGCUGUAUUGUUCAGAUGGACAGGGACUUGUACUGGAAUAAUGGAAUGUUGUGCAUUCAAUCCAUUUUAACUUUAAAUUCUAAUAAGCUGUCCUACAAAGCUGAGCUUUGUCGGUUUUUCAUGUGUUAUAAAUUCACCUUUUUGAUAUAAUAAAUGUUUUCAUAUAU